UGGGGAAUAUUGGGCAAUAGGCGCAAGCCUGACCCAGCAACGCCGCGUGAGGGAAGAAGGUCUUCGGAUUGUAAACCUCUGUCUUUGGUGAAGAAAGAAAUGACGGUAGCCGAGGAGGAAGCCACGGCUAACUACGUGCCAGCAGCCGCGGUAAUACGUGGGUGGCAAGCGUUGUCCGGAAUUACUGGGUGUAAAGGGAGCGCAGGCGGGAGAGCAAGUCAGCUGUGAAAACUAUGGGCUUAACCCAUAAACUGCAGUUGAAACUGUUUUUCUUGAGUGGAGUAGAGGUAGGCGGAAUUCCGAGUGUAGCGGUGAAAUGCGUAGAUAUUCGGAGGAACACCAGUGGCGAAGGCGGCCUACUGGGCUCUAACUGACGCUGAGGCUCGAAAGUGUGGGGAGCAAACA
Molecule: ribosomal RNA, 405 nt
Filed under: uncultured prokaryote
Description: bacterial SSU rRNA
Rfam family: Bacterial small subunit ribosomal RNA
Source: RNAcentral